AGAAAUACUCAUAAUCAAAUGCAGGAGUAUAGUAAACAAAAACAGGACUAAGAGAGGUUAAAGAGGCUAACAAAAGAAAAGGUUGGAUGUCCAAUAUACAAAGGACAGUACGGGUGGAAAUCUUUCUGUAUUACCUAAUCUUUGCUACUUUAGUUUGCUCUUAGUCCUUUGAAGUUAUGACAAGAAGCCCCAACGCUCCAAUGAGAAUAUACUUAAUAAUCGGCUUCUCGGUCAUAAUAAUAGUCACCCAGCCAACAUACGGUAAAAAUCCAACAGCUCUUCCCAUGAUAUGAUGCCGCUGAAGCCAAAGCUG
Molecule: unclassified non-coding RNA, 313 nt
Filed under: Hevea brasiliensis (rubber tree)
Lineage: Eukaryota; Viridiplantae; Streptophyta; Magnoliopsida; Malpighiales; Euphorbiaceae
Source: RNAcentral